AAAUCGGUUCUUCUCAGAACCACAACUUUGGAUCUCUAUACGAUUA
Agrilus planipennis (emerald ash borer) is the source of this 46-nucleotide non-coding RNA. The record is from Rfam. NCBI's taxonomy places the organism in Eukaryota, Metazoa, Arthropoda, Insecta, Coleoptera, Buprestidae.